This 650-nucleotide long non-coding RNA is filed under the name Pan troglodytes (chimpanzee). RNAcentral describes it as "long non-coding RNA NONPTRT005968". The record is from RNAcentral. Lineage: Eukaryota; Metazoa; Chordata; Mammalia; Primates; Hominidae.
GAGAAAUACACGGAGGUGGAAACGCCGGAGUGGCUGGCGGCGGCUGGGCCAGCUGAAGGUGACCAUGACACACGAGGGAGAGAGAAGCCCGCGAGAGGCGGAGAAUUGUGGGGUCGUCCAGGAGGGUCGACAAGGCAAAGAACCUGAAGACCACCCAAAAGGGUACCUAAGUGGGGCCCUUUCAGGGACUUGGGGCGUAGGGUAGGUGGGUGAGCGCAAGGGACGAGAUGGGUGUGCGCAUGGCACGAGGUGGGUGGGAGCAUGAGACGAGGUGGGUGGGGCGGUGGGUGAGGUCCCCGCCCCCAGACGGGCUGGCGAGGAAGCAGGGAAGAAGUAACGUUGGGCUGGUGGGGCAACGGGUGGGGCGCACUGGAGCUGCGGGGUAAUAGGUGGAACAAACUGGGGACUACACUCGUGGGCGCACGUGCGGAAGAGGGACUGAGGAGGUUCCUGCGUGCUCCCCUCGAGCACCGCCGACAGCUUCACCCGCACCUCCUGCCUUGCCCACCACUGACUCCUACCGCUCCGCGCACUGCGCGCGCUCGACCCUCGUGCAGCCAGCUCCCGGCCGGGUCCGCGCGAGGGCCAGGCUGCCAACCUGCCCGCGGGCGGUUGGCGGUUGGGGAGGGCGUUGGGAGGAGGAGUCCCGC